This 472-nucleotide ribosomal RNA is filed under the name uncultured bacterium. RNAcentral describes it as "partial 16S ribosomal RNA". It matches the Rfam family "Bacterial small subunit ribosomal RNA", at positions 28 to 507 of the family's 1533-position model. The record is from RNAcentral.
GACGAACGCUGGCGGCGUGCUUAACACAUGCAAGUCGAGCGGAAAGGCCCUUCGGGGUACUCGAGCGGCGAACGGGUGAGUAACACGUGAGUAAUCUGCCCUUGGCUUUGGGAUAACUACCGGAAACGGUGGCUAAUACCGGAUACGACAACCGUCUGCAUGGGCUGGUUGUGGAAAGUUUUUUCGGCCAGGGAUGUGCUCGCGGCCUAUCAGCUUGUUGGUGGGGUAAUGGCCUACCAAGGCUUCGACGGGUAGCCGGCCUGAGAGGGUGACCGGCCACACUGGGACUGAGACACGGCACAGACUCCUACGGGAGGCAGCAGUGGGGAAUAUUGGACAAUGGGCGGAAGCCUGAUCCAGCAACGCCGCGUGAAGGAUGACGGCCUUCGGGUUGUAAGCCUCUUUCAGUACCGACGAAGCGCCGAUGAUGGUGGUGACGGUAGGUACAGAAGAAGCACCGGCCAACUACGUG